RNAcentral lists this ribosomal RNA (450 nucleotides) under uncultured bacterium. RNAcentral describes it as "bacterial SSU rRNA". It matches the Rfam family "Bacterial small subunit ribosomal RNA", at positions 354 to 796 of the family's 1533-position model. The record is from RNAcentral.
GUGGGGAAUAUUGGACAAUGGGCGCAAGCCUGAUCCAGCAAUGCCGCGUGCAGGAAGAAGGCCUUCGGGUUGUAAACUGCUUUUGUACGGAACGAAACGGUCCUGGUUAAUACCCUGGGCUAAUGACGGUACCGUAAGAAUAAGCACCGGCUAACUACGUGCCAGCAGCCGCGGUAAUACGUAGGGUGCAAGCGUUAAUCGGAAUUACUAGGCGUAAAGCGUGCGCAGGCGGUUUUGUAAGACAGGCGUGAAAUCCCCGGGCUCAACCUGGGAAUUGCGCUUGUGACUGCAAGGCUGGAGUGCGGCAGAGGGGGAUGGAAUUCCGCGUGUAGCAGUGAAAUGCGUAGAUAUGCGGAGGAACACCGAUGGCGAAGGCAAUCCCCUGGGCCUGCACUGACGCUCAUGCACGAAAGCGUGGGGAGCAAACAGGAUUAGAAACCCCGGUAGUCC